Molecule: long non-coding RNA, 1625 nt
Filed under: Marmota monax (woodchuck)
Lineage: Eukaryota; Metazoa; Chordata; Mammalia; Rodentia; Sciuridae
Source: RNAcentral
UUGAUCGCACACCCUUUUCCUGGAGAGAGCCAGUGUACUGAGGGAUGCUGGUCCCAAACCCACGGCCCACCACCAAAGGCGAGCCCUGCCCCCUGCUGGUUGCAGAGGGUCACUGCCCUGGAAGAGUCAGUGACCCCCUCCUCUUGUUAGGCUGGAUUGAGGAGGGUCAUAAGAGGGUACAGUCGCCAGAUAAAAUAUAGAGCAUCCAGUUAAACCUGAAUUUUAGUUAACAGCAAAUAAUCUAGUAUAAGUAUGUCCCAUACAAUAUUUGAGCUUUACUUAUACUUAAAACAUUUCUGCUGUUGUUUAUUUAAUAUUUGAAUAUCAUGAUGUCCUGUAAUUUUAUUUACUAAAUCUGGAACCCUAGAAAAGAAUGCAUAUGGUCAACACUCUUGAGUGUGUUGGAAGUAAAGAAACUCUGAGGAUGCUAAGGGUAGACUGGCCCAGGCAUCUGGACAGAGAAAAGAGAAUCCAGAGGACAGAGUUGUGAGGAGGAGCCAGGGCAGGACCCUUGCUUCUGCUGUGAACAAAUCCAGGUUGGCUUGCUGAGGAAUGGCACGAAGCUCAGCUGCCCCCACCCCCAGCCUCUUGCCACACUGGGGAUGAGGCCAUCCUCCACCAGUGACUCCAGCUGACCACCACAGUCCAUAGCCAGGCCAGGACUGCUUAGCUGGACUGCAGGUUCAUGAGCUCAAUAUGUCCUCAAAUGUCCAUCGCUUUGACCCGAUACAUUUUGGGGUUGUUUGUUAUGCAGCAAACAAUAAUUGAUACCAGAGAAAAGAAAGGGGUCCUGAGGAUGGGCUUUGGGCAGUGUAGCCUGAGAAGGCAACAUGAUGAAUCAUAGCACCCAAGGGCCACGUCCUGUCAGGUCCACUGUUCUCUCCAAGGACUGAGCAGCGAGUCUUGGACGUAUCCAGUCCCCAGCACAGGGACCCUGCCAGCCUGAAGGCCCUUGAGCAGGGGCAGGGAGCCAGGGGUGGGGCUUAAUCGAGGGUAACCACCCAUUGGUUCACCACCUGAGCUGCGUGUCCUGCUCUGAAGAUGGCUGGGCCAUUCGACACCUUUCCUGGCAAUUUGGAAUUGGGGGCUUGUGGAUGUCGUCACAGAGCUGUAGAACUACAGCCAAAAAGUCACAGAUCAGUCAUUCAAGGAUACAUGUGAAAUGUUCAAAAGAAAAUGGAGCAGAUGCAGAGAGACCUUGGGAGGGAGAGCUCAGUUCCCACCCUCAGCACUGGCCUGGGGCUUUGCAGGGGGCCAUCAGGGUCCAGGGAGCUGACACAUUUUCAGGCUGGUGCAGGCAGAGCUGUGUUCUCAAAACAGGGCUGCUCACAGAAGCCCAGCUGCAGGACAUACCAGCAUUUGUGGAAAGGUGGAAACUGGUGAGUCAUCCGACAGCUCUCAGUGUCUCUCCCACCCCACCCCACUGGCCUCCAUCUCAAUGCCAGUUAUCCUUCCGGCAGCUCUACCUGCACAGGUGGAUGGGAUCUGUCUACAGGGCUCCACAUUACUGCAGGAGACCUGCAUGAAUCCCUAGAAAGAAUUUGGAAGAAUUUAACACAAGAUGAGAAUGCACCAAAAAAAAAAAAAAAACAUUAAAAGAAGUAUUUUAAAAUGCAGAAAUGGAU